Molecule: transfer RNA, 73 nt
Filed under: Anguilla anguilla (European eel)
Lineage: Eukaryota; Metazoa; Chordata; Actinopteri; Anguilliformes; Anguillidae
Description: tRNA-OTHER
Source: RNAcentral
GGGGCAGUGGUGCUGUGGUUCACACUGUUGCAUCGAAAGUAGGAAGUUCUGGGUUCAAGUCUCAGCUGGUUCC